GAUGAAUAACGCAGCGAAAUGCGAUAAGUAAUGUGAAUUGCAGAAUUCAGUGAAUCAUCGAAUCUUUGAACGCACAUUGCGCCCGCCAGUAUUCUGGCGGGCAUGCCUGUUCGAGCGUCAUUACAACCCUCAGGCCCCCGGGCCUGGCGUUGGGGAUCGGCGGAGCCCCCCGUGGGCACACGCCGUCCCCCAAAUACAGUGGCGGUCCCGCCGCAGCUUCCAUCGCGUAGUAGCUAACACCUCGCGACUGGAGAGCGGCGCGGCCACGCCGUAAAACACCCAACUCUUCUGAAGUUGACCUCGAAUCAGGUAGGAAUACCCGCUGAACUUAAGCAUAUCAAUAAGCGGAGGA
RNAcentral lists this unclassified non-coding RNA (352 nucleotides) under soil metagenome. RNAcentral describes it as "partial contains 5.8S ribosomal RNA, internal transcribed spacer 2, and large subunit ribosomal RNA". The stretch from base 1 to 120 matches the Rfam family "5.8S ribosomal RNA", at positions 35 to 154 of the family's 154-position model. The record is from RNAcentral.